UAGUAUAUGGAAUUACCCAUUCUAUAAACCCACUCUGUGUAUCUUAUAACUGUUGCUUCCAUGGGACUUGGGCCUAUGUCCACGUCGGCCAAAACGGCUGGCGAGCGCCCAUGGGAGGAGAAGCAAAACUCUUCUUUGAAGUGUACCUAGUCUGACCCGAAAUAUUAAACUAUUA
This 175-nucleotide unclassified non-coding RNA is filed under the name uncultured Ascomycota. RNAcentral describes it as "sequence contains ITS1". Lineage: Eukaryota; Fungi; Ascomycota. The record is from RNAcentral.